GGGCUCUGACUACGCUCUACACCCUUUGUGACAUACCUAUAACUGUUGCUUCGGCGGGCAGGGUCUCCGUGACCCUCCCGGCCUCCCGCCCCCGGGCGGGUCGGCGCCCGCCGGAGGAUAACCAAACUCUGAUUUAACGACGUUUCUUCUGAGUGGUACAAGCAAAUAAUCAAAACUUUUAACAACGGAUCUCUUGGUUCUGGCAUCGAUGAAGAACGCAGCGAAAUGCGAUAAGUAAUGUGAAUUGCAGAAUUCAGUGAAUCAUCGAAUCUUUGAACGCACAUUGCGCCCGCCAGCAUUCUGGCGGGCAUGCCUGUUCGAGCGUCAUUUCAACCCUCAAGCUCUGCUUGGUGUUGGGGCCCUACAGCUGAUGUAGGCCCUCAAAGGUAGUGGCGGACCCUCCCGGAGCCUCCUUUGCGUAGUAACUUUACGUCUCGCACUGGGAUCCGGAGGGACUCUUGCCGUAAAACCCCCAAUUUUCCAAAGGUUGACCUCGGAUCAGGUAGGAAUACCCGCUGAACUUAAGCAUAUCAA
This 534-nucleotide ribosomal RNA is filed under the name Colletotrichum gloeosporioides. RNAcentral describes it as "eukaryotic LSU rRNA". The stretch from base 174 to 327 matches the Rfam family "5.8S ribosomal RNA". The record is from RNAcentral. Lineage: Eukaryota; Fungi; Ascomycota; Sordariomycetes; Glomerellales; Glomerellaceae.